UACGAGGCAUGUAAGCGUUAUCCGGAAUUAUUGGGCGUAAAGCGUUUGUAGGCGGGCGAGUGUGUUUAAUGUUAAAUCUUAAAGCUCAACUUUGAAAUUGCGUUAAAAACUGCUUGUCUUGAGUAUGGUAGGGGUAAAGGGAAUUCCCAGUGUAGCGGUGAAAUGCGUAGAUAUUGGGAAGAACACUAAACAGCGAAGGCACUUUACUAGGCUAAUACUGACGCUGAGAAACGAAAGGUAAGGUAGCGAAACGGAUUAGAUACCCGUGUAGUCUUACCCGUAAACUAUGGACACUAAACGGUAAAUUUUUAAUUUACUGUUAAAGCUAACGCGUUAAGUGUCCCGCCUGGGGAGUAUGCUUGCAAAAGUGAAACUCAAAGGAAUUGACGGGGGCCCGCACAAGCGGUGGAGCAUGUGGUUUAAUUCGACGGUACACGAAGAACCUUACCAGGAUUUGACAUGCUAGAUAGUUGCUUGAAAGAGUAACGUGCCGUAAGGAAUCUAGACACAGGUGGUGCAUGGCUGUCGUCAGUUCGUGUUGUGAAAUGUUGGGUUAAGUCCCGCAACGAACGCAACCCUUGUCUUUAGUUAUUUUCUAAAGAGACUGCCUGUAAUAAACAGGAGGAAGGUAAGGAUGAGGUCAAGUCAUCAUGCCCCUUAUGUCCUGGGCUACACACGUGCUACAAUGGGAAAGACAAUGAGCUGCAAAUCUGUAAAUUUAAGCAAAUCUCUUAAACUUUCUCGUAGUUCGGAUUGUGGGCUGCAACUCGCCCACAUGAAGUUGGAAUCGCUAGUAAUCGCCAGUCAGCUAUAUGGCGGUGAAUCCGUUCCCGGGCCU
Molecule: ribosomal RNA, 838 nt
Filed under: uncultured bacterium
Lineage: Bacteria
Description: bacterial SSU rRNA
Rfam family: Bacterial small subunit ribosomal RNA
Source: RNAcentral